This 503-nucleotide long non-coding RNA is filed under the name Homo sapiens (human). RNAcentral's name for it is "novel transcript". The record is from RNAcentral. Lineage: Eukaryota; Metazoa; Chordata; Mammalia; Primates; Hominidae.
AGUUCUUCCUGAGAAAAGUACCAAGGCAUAGGUUCCUUAAGUGAUCUUAAAUUGUCUCGUAAGCAUUUUAUAUGUGGGAAGCACUUAGGAAAUAAAUGUUCAAUGAAUGAAUUAAUGAAGGAAUGAAUGCAAAAACAGCUAUGAAAAAAAGCUUAAAAAGAUUCUGCCUGCUUAUGCAAGAUGCUAAUCAUAGCAUUCCAGAAUGCUAAUGGAGAAUUAGCCCAUUUUGAAUUUUGGGAAGAGGACCAGUCUGACCAUACAUACACACUUUUCUCAGCACAUGACAGACAGUAGCAUCCUAGCAGCCAUCCUGUAUUUUGAAGAUGAAUGAGUGACACCAAGGAUGAGAAACCAAGAAGACCUCAUCCUUCAAAGUUCAUUCAUUUUUAUUGAAGAGUAAUAGUUUAUUGCAACACAGUGAAAAGGUAACCUACAGAAAGAGAGAAAAAUAUUUGCAAACUAUAUAUCCUAUGUUGAUUAAUUCCCAAAAUAUCUAAGUAAUG